Molecule: ribosomal RNA, 399 nt
Filed under: uncultured fungus
Lineage: Eukaryota; Fungi
Description: bacterial SSU rRNA
Rfam family: Eukaryotic small subunit ribosomal RNA
Source: RNAcentral
UUGUUAGUCAUUAUGCUUGUCUCAAAGAUUAAGCCAUGCAUGUCUAAGUUCAAGCGAAAAUAAAGUGAAACCGCGAAUGGCUCAUUACAUCAGUUAUGGUUCCUUAGAUCGCACUUACUACUUGGAUAACUGUGGUAAUUCUAGAGCUAAUACAUGCUCUGAGCUCCAACCCUCGUGGAAGGAGCGCUUUUAUUAGAUCAAAGCCAAUCGGGCCUUCGGGUCCGUUAUACUGGUGACUCUGAAUAACUUUGCUGAUCGUAUGGUCUUGUACCGACGACGUAUCUUUCAAGUGUCUGCCUUAUCAACUGUCGAUGGUAGGUUAUGCGCCUACCAUGGUGGCAACGGGUAACGGGGAAUGGGGCGGGGGCGGCGGGCCGGGCGCGGGGCGCCGGCGGGCGA